RNAcentral lists this long non-coding RNA (4431 nucleotides) under Daucus carota (carrot). RNAcentral describes it as "long non-coding RNA (DCAR_LNC002595)". Lineage: Eukaryota; Viridiplantae; Streptophyta; Magnoliopsida; Apiales; Apiaceae. The record is from RNAcentral.
UUAGGUCACUCUGAAUUUGCUGAAUUUCUUCUCUCCCAUAAGCCUGACUUUGCGAACCGGUUUGAUUCACAAGGUCGUUCUGCUCUUCAUUUGGCAUCUGCAAACGGAUACGCGAAUAUCGUUAAACUAUUGUUGGCACAGAAUGAGACUAUGUGCAGUGUUCCUGAUGUGGACGAAAGGACCCCUCUCCAUUUGGCUGUGAUGAAUGGCCAAUACGAUUGCGUUGAGGAGUUUAUAAAAGCCAACUCUAAGUCUAAUGAUCAAGGACUUGAUGCAGUAUUGCACAUGUGUGUUAUGUGUAAUCGUUUGGAUGUUCUGAUUCUUGUUUUAGGCAAGAAUCCCAUUGAUUUGUCGGAUGUCAAAGAUGAGGAUGGUAAUACUAUUCUACAUUAUGCUGCAGGUUUACGACGUAUACAGGUAAAAUCUGUGUUUAGCUGAACAAUUCUUUUUCGUGCUAAUAGGGUGUUAGGCCUCGAAUGUCACUGUUUAGCAAGAAAAAAGUCUCUAUUGUAACUUUUUGAAAAAACAACCCAAAAUAUCACUUCAAACCGCAACUUCAUGUAGUGUUCAAUAUAUUAAAACACAACUUUAAGUUGUGGUUUCAGUUGAAAACGCAACUUGAUGAAGUUGUGAUUUUCAGCUGAAAACACAACUUGAAGUUGUGGUUCCCUCAAAAAAUUAAAACACAACACAAUACGAAGUUGUGUUUUGAAGUGACAUCUGAGGCUAUUUUUCUAAAAAUUGACAUUGAGACCCAUUUGUUUUAAAAAUAGUAACUUUUGCCGCCUUUUUCCUAAUUAUUUGAUGUAAUAAAUUGAAUUUAUGUACUUUAUCCCCCACAGAUAGUUAAGUACCUGGUCACAACUAGAAGUGAAGCCGAGGUGAACGUAAAGAAUAACAAAGGUCACACGGCUUUGGACACAAUAGAGGAGAUGCUUAAAGAUGUAAAAGCCAUGGAAAUUAAGCAACUUCUUGUCUCAGUUAGUACUAAAAAGACCCAAGAAGCACCAGCAGGACCUGGCAUCUUUAACAAGCUGUUACAUUCGGCCAAAAAAAUAAAAAAAUUCGCCAUCUUUCAGGACAAAAUGGAAACGAAAGACGAGACAUUACUGGUAGCAGCAUCUGUGAUAGCCGCAAUGGCCUACACAUCGGCUAUUAGCCCUCCCGGUGGCGUUGCUUCAAUGGAUGCCGCAAGUUAUUCAGUCAGUGACCCGUGGUACUUUAGUUAUUUUCUUGCACCCGGAAGCUCCCUUCUCGCCUACUUCUUCGCGCCACUGAGCAAUACCUUUUGGGUAUUUAACACCAUCUCGUUUAUAGCUGCACUAAGUGUAAUCUUUAUAUAUGUCACUGGUGCGAGCCUGAAGCAGAAGCUCAUCGUUUGGUCUAUUCGCGGCGCGAUGUGGAUAACUCUUUCGGCCAUGAUUUUUGCCUAUGAGGCUGCAGUUAGAGCCACCACUCCGAAAUAUCAUCAGAAUAACAGAACACUUUAUACAAUUAGAGUUGGACUGUAUUCAUGGUUGGCCUUGAUGGUCAUCGCGGUACUGGUGGUUGUUUUUCAUGUUUGCCGCUACAUAGUGAAGACAAUUUCUACGAUAUUGAGUGACAGGAACAAGAAAAUGGACGCCUCCACUUUCAGAAACUCGAUGCAAAAAUCAAUAUCUCGUAAGGAUUAUGACAAACUCUAGCUGCACUUCUUCAGUUUAUUUACCUUGCGUUGUUUGUACUGUAUUUACGUUGUUCUCUUUGUUUAAAAAUGUAAUAUCGUGUUUUGUAUUUCCAUUCUCCAAGUUCCAUGUACAGUAGGAUGAGGGGUGUAUUUACUUGGAUUUCUUCGCAUCUGCAAAUCUUCAAAAGGCCUAUUAAAGGAUAUCAUGGCAUGUUUAGGAUUUUCUUCAAAUUUUCAAAAGGCAUAUUACAAGACACUAGCUCCAUAAUCAACACAUCUAAGUAAAUCGAAUUAACCGAGCGAUAAGACGGUGCGGGAACUUCCCCACCCACUAGAUUCCCUCUCUUCUGACUACUACCAACUGACUUCAACCUAACUUUGAAACAAAUAACUGAAAUGACAUGUAAAAAUAUAUAAAUCAGCAAAAUGUAAAAAUUGCAAAAUUUAAGUCCAGAACAAGAGAUGUAUUUAUUUUAAAUUAAAUAGACCGAAUUAAGUAUAAUUCUUAUAGUUAGGUGAUUGAACCUCAUAUUCCUUUAUUCCUUUUUCGUGAGAGUGCAUCGUACUAAUAACCAAAAUAAUUAAUAAAUUCAUACCAAACAUGGCUUCCAAAAAAAAAAUUCAUACCAAACAUAUUAUUGUCCGUAUUCACGAUUUUUUUAUGUUCAUUGGUGUUGACAAUGAAAAGAAUAUAGAAGCCUGAAUCUAAAUUAUACAUUUUAAAACCCUAUGCAUGUAGUAAUAUACUAUUGGGAGGUUUUGCAAUAUUGUAUGCAUUUUGUGUGUAUAUAUAUAUGAAUUUUUAAAAAAUUAAUCUCAAUCAUUUUUAUACAUUUCAUUACUCCAUAUGAAUUUUAAUAUUUUAAUAUAUAUAAAAGUAAGGGGACGCAGAGACAGAGUAAUUAUCUAAACAAUGUGGGUGUUUGACAAAGGGGCUUCUUGGCUUUUUUGACAUAGAAGUCGACUUCUGCUUAAAUCGAGGUGUUUGGUUGAUUAUGAGAAGCACUUAUAUUGAAGUUUAAAAGCUCCAAAAAAGAAGUUAGGAAACCUAGCUUAUUUUGGGGAUUUAGCUUCUUCUAUCACUUAUAAUCGAUAUAUAUUCAAACACUUUUAAUAACUUAUAAGUCCAAACCAACUUUUCAUUAAUAAUCUAUUUCUUUAUUUUAAAUAAUAAAUCAUUUAUUUUAAGCGCAGCCAAACGGUCCCAAUAUAAAUGCAAGGGUUAGUGACGCUAUUGUAGUGACAUCACUCCACACGGUACCAGUUGACUUACUUUCUGUGCCACUUCUUCAUACCUGCCAGGCACGUUAGUUUUCCGUAUUCCUCGUUACACCAGUUGACAUUACGAAAACGUAAUUAAGCAAAGACAACUGGAAGUUACUUUUGAGUUUUGAUCGGAGGAGUAAUAUUUAUUUUGGAAAAAUGCUAAGAGCAAGUCCAACAAUGUCCUAGCUAUUGCCUUAUAAAUAUAAUAAAAAAUAGUGUCCUAAUGAUUUAGAACAUCAUUUUAAUAUACCAACUCCAACAAUAUGUCUUAUUCUUGUGCCUUAUUAUUAAAAUAAUAAUAUAUUUGAACUAUUGUUGGAGGGAAAUGAAAAAGAGAGAGGAGAGAGAUGUGUUGAAAUGAGAGAAAGCUAAUUUUUUAUAAGAGAGAGGAGAGAGAUGUGUUGAAAUGAGAGAAAGCUAAUUUUUUAUUGGUAGAAAUGAUUUAGGGCAUGCAUACUUGUACCUCAAAAAUAAGGCAUUUGAGAGAUGUCCUAGUGUUUUAAGGCACCACUAGAACAUUGUUGGAGCACUCAUUUGCUUCAAAUGCCUUAAAUUUUGAUUUAGGACACAAUUUGAGGCACUCUUGGACUUGCUCGUACUUCAAAAAUUGUCCUAAUUUUUUUUUUCAAAUGAUGUGUCGAAAUUUGAUUGCUUGUAUUCAUUUCAAUAACGAUGAGACUCCCUUCCAUAUAUAUCAAUUAUCUAAUCACAAUCUUUCAUUUGACUGUCAUAUCAUUGGGUGAAGAAUUUAAAAAUAAAUAAAUUUAGAGCACGUGGCAUUACCUUCUUAAUAGUUUCUCUGGCAACUUGUCCGUAUUCCACGAAUCUUGCAUUACUGCAGUUGACUUAAACCUAAAAAACAAAAAUAAAUCUAUUUUAUUCAUUUUAAGACCCUUUAAAUGUUCUUCCAGAGCACGAUAGGAAUGCAUCAGAAAUAUUAUUGGCUCUCGAUCAUAGCCAGCUGAACUCGUCUUCAUACUUGGAUCAGGUAACAAUCCGAUAAUCUUAAACUUGGAUUCUUAAUACCCUAAUCCUGUAUAUCUGCAUUGCCAAAACCCUAGUCACAGCGUUACUAGUAAAAUUUAUCUUCAAUUUAAUAUAUGCAGAUAAAUACAAGCAAUGGAUACCGAAGUGGAGAAGAAGCUGUACAAUGCAUGUGUGAAAGGAGACGUAAGGAUGCUGGAAGCACUCAUACGAGAAGAUGAACUCACUCUUGCUCGAGUUUCGAUAUCUUCUUGCUUUAACCAAACACCCUUGCAUCUUGCUUCCAUGUUAGGUCACUUUGAAUUUGCUGAAGUUCUUCUCUCUCAUAAGUCUGACUUUGCAAACAGAUUAGAUUCACAAGGUCGUUCUGCUCUUCAUUUGGCAUCUGCCAACGGAUACGCGAAUAUUGUUAAACUGUUGUUGGUACACAAUGAGAAAAUGUGCAGUGUUCCUGAUGAGGACGAAAGGACCCCUCUCCAUUUGGCUGUGAUGAAUGGCCAAUAUGAUUGUGUUGA